Molecule: ribosomal RNA, 506 nt
Filed under: uncultured bacterium
Lineage: Bacteria
Description: partial 16S ribosomal RNA
Rfam family: Bacterial small subunit ribosomal RNA
Source: RNAcentral
AUUGAACGCUGGCGGCAGGCCUAACACAUGCAAGUCGGACGGUAGCACAGAGGAGCUUGCUCCUCGGGUGACGAGUGGCGGACGGGUGAGUAAUGUCUGGGGAUCUGCCCGAUAGAGGGGGAUAACCACUGGAAACGGUGGCUAAUACCGCAUAACGUCGCAAGACCAAAGAGGGGGACCUUCGGGCCUCUCACUAUCGGAUGAACCCAGAUGGGAUAAGCUAGUAGGCGGGGUAAUGGCCCACCUAGGCGACGAUCCCUAGCUGGUCUGGGAGGAUGACCAGCCACACUGGAACUGAGACACGGUCCAGACUCCUACGGGAGGCAGCAGUGGGGAAUAUUGCACAAUGGGCGCAAGCCUGAUGCAGCCAUGCCGCGUGUAUGAAGAAGGCCUUCGGGUUGUAAAGUACUUUCAGCGGGGAGGAAGGCGAUAAGGUUAAUAACCUUGUCGAUUGACGUUACCCGCAGAAGAAGCACCGGCUAACUCCGUGCCAGCAGCCGCAGUAA